AGAGAGGUGGCCGAGUGGCUUAAGGCGCACGCUUGGAAAGCGUGUAUACUUCACGGUAUCGAGGGUUCGAAUCCCUUCCUCUCUGCGA
Molecule: transfer RNA, 88 nt
Filed under: Psychroserpens burtonensis
Lineage: Bacteria; Pseudomonadati; Bacteroidota; Flavobacteriia; Flavobacteriales; Flavobacteriaceae
Description: tRNA-Ser
Rfam family: tRNA
About the family: Transfer RNA (tRNA) molecules are approximately 80 nucleotides in length. Their secondary structure includes four short double-helical elements and three loops (D, anti-codon, and T loops). Further hydrogen bonds mediate the characteristic L-shaped molecular structure. tRNAs have two regions of fundamental functional importance: the anti-codon, which is responsible for specific mRNA codon recognition, and the 3' end, to which the tRNAs corresponding amino acid is attached (by aminoacyl-tRNA synthetases). tRNAs cope with the degeneracy of the genetic code in two manners: having more than one tRNA (with a specific anti-codon) for a particular amino acid; and 'wobble' base-pairing, i.e. permitting non-standard base-pairing at the 3rd anti-codon position.
Source: RNAcentral